This 497-nucleotide ribosomal RNA is filed under the name uncultured bacterium. RNAcentral's name for it is "partial 16S ribosomal RNA". It matches the Rfam family "Bacterial small subunit ribosomal RNA", at positions 28 to 507 of the family's 1533-position model. The record is from RNAcentral.
GAUGAACGCUGGCGGCGUGCCUAAUACAUGCAAGUCGAGCGAACGGACGAGAAGCUUGCUCCUCUGAUGUUAGCGGCGGACGGGUGAGUAACACGUGGAUAACCUACCUAUAAGACUGGGAUAACUUCGGGAAACCGGAGCUAAUACCGGAUAAUAUAUUGAACCGCAUGGUUCAAUAGUGAAAGACGGUCUUGCUGUCACUUAUAGAUGGAUCCGCGCUGCAUUAGCUAGUUGGUAAGGUAACGGCUUACCAAGGCAACGAUGCAUAGCCGACCUGAGAGGGUGAUCGGCCAAACUGGAACUGAGACACGGUCCAGACUCCUAAGGGAGGCAGCAGUAGGGAAUCUUCCGCAAUGGGCGAAAGCCUGACGGAGCAACGGCGCGUGAGUGAUGAAGGUCUUCGGAUCGUAAAACUCUGUUAUUAGGGAAGAACAUAUGUGUAAGUAACUGUGCACAUCUUGACGGUAACUAAUCAGAAAGCCACGGCUAACUACGUG